Molecule: long non-coding RNA, 414 nt
Filed under: Gallus gallus (chicken)
Lineage: Eukaryota; Metazoa; Chordata; Aves; Galliformes; Phasianidae
Source: RNAcentral
GGGCUAUAUAAAGCUUUUAUCAUGUUCUGUGUGGCAUACACACACACACAAAAAAUCAAGAUGUUUACAUGUCCUUAUUCUUCAGAAUGAGAGAAAUAAAAACGCUCAACUCUUUGGUUUGUAGAUUGUGAGUUUUCAGGAACAGAUGAGAUGAGAAAAGCGCCAUCCAGUGUGCAGACUCCUGCCCUUGCAAGCUACUGCCAGAAGACCAUUCAGACAAAGAUCACACUUCCUUUAUAAGUUUCUUCAUCGCUUUGAUGAAGUUGAAAUUCAACAAUUUAAACGCUAGAUGGCAGGAUAAGGACGGAGUAAAACUGCCGGAAAGACCACAUGCAGCUGCCUGUACUCACAGUAUGAGGCUAAAUCCAGAAGAAAAAAAAAGGCACAGAGUUCAUCCCAGGCUUUACAGCUCCC